Molecule: ribosomal RNA, 292 nt
Filed under: uncultured bacterium
Lineage: Bacteria
Description: partial 16S ribosomal RNA
Rfam family: Bacterial small subunit ribosomal RNA
Source: RNAcentral
GUGUCAGCCGCCGCGGUAAGACAGAGGGUGCAAGCGUUGUUCGGAAUUAUUGGGCGUAAAGGGCGCGUAGGCGGCUAUAUAAGUCUAAUGUGAAAUACCUUGGCUUAACCAAGGAAGUGCAUUGGAUACUGUAUAGCUUGAGUCCCAAAGAGGGCGAUGGAAUUCCCAGUGUAGAGGUGAAAUUCGUAGAUAUUGGGAGGAACAUCAGUGGCGAAGGCGAUCGCCUGGUUGGAGACUGACGCUGAGGCGCGAAAGCGUGGGGAGCAAACAGGAUUAGAUACCCCUGUAGUCC